CUUUUUGCCAGUACCUCAACCAAGAGGGCUACCCUCCAGGCUAAGGGACUCCAGCACGAGGAGGUUGUGGGAUAUACCACUGUGGAUGGGAACUGAGUAGAAGGAAUUAGAAGUGCUUGUGCCAGAGAAGAUGCCCCAUGCCAAAGAAAUGAGCCACUGGGAGAUCUCACAGGACAGGGCAGAGAACUCACACCUGCCACUCCAAGAGGGAUCAACUUUUUCAGUGCCUUUAACACACAGAAGCCGCCAUCGGCAGCCUGUCAGGAGAAGCCAGAGGAGCAGCAUAAACCAGUAUAAACCAACAAAGGAAGAAGCACAACUCUACCCAGUUAAAAACAGUGUUCCCUCACUGUGACAGGAUGCCCUGUUGGUUUGUGCUGGUUUCUGCUGCUCCUCUGACUAAUCCCAUCAGGCUGAUGAUGGUGGCCUCUGUGAAAGGCAAUGAAAGAGCCGAUCCCCCAUGGAGAUCUGUGAUGUGAUUGUCAUCAGUUAACCAAUAAGAAGGACAAAAAAUAAAGAAAAGAAAAGGAAACUGAUAUGGAUAAACUUAAACAAAAUUGCCAAAGACAACACAAGUUAAAAAUGUAACGCCACUUGAUUUGCCUUCCCUUUCUGUUUCUCCCCCUAUUCCUCUCAUUCCUCCAAGAAUUUCUGUGAACUACACUGGACAGAUUAACACAUUAAGGCCCUGACUCUUGCUCUUGGGAUCUUGAGCACGAAUUACAAUUGUGCAGAUUUUUAAAAGGCUUCAUCUGAGAGCUUAGCUAAAGCGGAGAUGCAAGAUCAAAAAUAGUAAUGAUUUCUAGAAAAACAGAUAAACAAACAAAAGUAGAACUUAACCAUCUAAGCAAAUUAUAAAACUAG
This 864-nucleotide long non-coding RNA is filed under the name Equus caballus (horse). Its description in RNAcentral is "lncRNA (ENSECAG00000059465.1)". Lineage: Eukaryota; Metazoa; Chordata; Mammalia; Perissodactyla; Equidae. The record is from RNAcentral.